AGUGAACGCUGGCGGCAUGCCUUACACAUGCAAGUCGAACGGUAACAGGUCUUCGGAUGCUGACGAGUGGCGAACGGGUGAGUAAUACAUCGGAACGUGCCUAGUAGUGGGGGAUAACUACUCGAAAGAGUGGCUAAUACCGCAUGAGAUCUACGGAUGAAAGCAGGGGAUCGCAAGACCUUGUGCUACUAGAGCGGCCGAUGGCAGAUUAGGUAGUUGGUGGGAUAAAAGCUUACCAAGCCGACGAUCUGUAGCUGGUCUGAGAGGACGAUCAGCCACACUGGGACUGAGACACGGCCCAGACUCCUACGUGAGGCAGCAGUGGGGAAUUUUGGACAAUGGGCGCAAGCCUGAUCCAGCAAUGCCGCGUGCAGGAUGAAGGCCUUCGGGUUGUAAACUGCUUUUGUACGGAACGAAAAGCCCUGGGUUAAUACCCUGGGGUCAUGACGGUACCGUAAGAAUAAGCACCGGCCAACUACGUGCCAGCCGCCGCCGUAA
Molecule: ribosomal RNA, 498 nt
Filed under: uncultured bacterium
Lineage: Bacteria
Description: partial 16S ribosomal RNA
Rfam family: Bacterial small subunit ribosomal RNA
Source: RNAcentral